Molecule: long non-coding RNA, 306 nt
Filed under: Homo sapiens (human)
Lineage: Eukaryota; Metazoa; Chordata; Mammalia; Primates; Hominidae
Description: non-protein coding lnc-FAM83C-3:2
Source: RNAcentral
GGACAACAGAGGCAUACAUAUGUUUAAAGCAUACAGUACCUGGACUCCAUGAACGGGGAGGAUCUGCUUCUGACAGGGGAGGUGAGCUGGCGCCCUCUAGUGGAGAAGAAUCCUCAGAGCAUCCUGAAGCCCCAUUCUCCGACUUACAACGACGAGGGACUUUGAUGGGCUGGGCCCUCCGCACGGCCCGCCAGCUGGCUUCGAGGAACCUCCAGGAGAGAAGUGCCUGUUGGUCCAGGACCCUGCAGAAAGUGGCCUGAACUGACCUCUGAACAGCAUCUGUCAAAUACCUGGCCCCAUUUGUGU